GGGUUGUGAGGUUAAGCGACUAAGCGUACACGGUGGAUGCCCUGGCAGUCAGAGGCGAUGAAGGGCGUGCUAAUCUGCGAUAAGCGCCGGUAAGGUGAUAUGAACCGUUAUAACCGGCGAUACCCGAAUGGGGAAACCCAGUGUGAUUCGUCACACUAUCAUUAACUGAAUCCAUAGGUUAAUGAGGCGAACCGGGGGAACUGAAACAUCUAAGUACCCCGAGGAAAAGAAAUCAACCGAGAUUCCCCCAGUAGCGGCGAGCGAACGGGGAGGAGCCCAGAGCCUGAAUCAGCAUGUGUGUUAGUGGAAGCGUCUGGAAAGGCGCGCGAUACAGGGUGACAGCCCCGUACACAAAAGCGCAUAUGCUGUGAGCUCGAUGAGUAGGGCGGGACACGUGGUAUCCUGUCUGAAUAUGGGGGGACCAUCCUCCAAGGCUAAAUACUCCUGACUGACCGAUAGUGAACCAGUACCGUGAGGGAAAGGCGAAAAGAACCCCGGCGAGGGGAGUGAAAAAGAACCUGAAACCGUGUACGUACAAGCAGUGGGAGCCCCACCACUAAGCCAGUGGUGAACUCCACAUACGCAUCCUUUGCUGAGGAGACGGUUAACGGAGCGAAAGCGACGUUCAACCUCAAAAGAAGCAGAGGGGGCUUAGUGGUGGGGUGACUGCGUACCUUUUGUAUAAUGGGUCAGCGACUUAUAUUCUGUAGCAAGGUUAACUGUAUAGGGGAGCCGGAGGGAAACCGAGUCUUAACCGGGCGUUAAGUUGCAGGGUAUAGACCCGAAACCCGGUGAUCUAGCCAUGGGCAGGUUGAAGGUUGGGUAACACUAACUGGAGGACCGAACCGACUAAUGUUGAAAAAUUAGCGGAUGACCUGUGGCUGGGGGUGAAAGGCCAAUCAAACCGGGAGAUAGCUGGUUCUCCCCGAAAGCUAUUUAGGUAGCGCCUCGUGAAUUCAUCUCCGGGGGUAGAGCACUGUUUCGGCUAGGGGGCCAUCCCGGCUUACCAACCCGAUGCAAACUGCGAAUACCGGAGAAUGUUAUCACGGGAGACACACGGCGGGUGCUAAUGUCCGUCGUGAAGAGGGAAACAACCCAGACCGCCAGCUAAGGUCCCAAAGUCAUGGUUAAGUGGGAAACGAUGUGGGAAGGCCCAGACAGCCAGGAUGUUGGCUUAGAAGCAGCCAUCAUUUAAAGAAAGCGUAAUAGCUCACUGGUCGAGUCGGCCUGCGCGGAAGAUGUAACGGGGCUAAACCAUGCACCGAAGCUGCGGCAGCGACACCGUGUGUUGUUGGGUAGGGGAGCGUUCUGUAAGCCUGUGAAGGUGUGCUGUGAGGCAUGCUGGAGGUAUCAGAAGUGCGAAUGCUGACAUAAGUAACGAUAAAGCGGGUGAAAAGCCCGCUCGCCGGAAGACCAAGGGUUCCUGUCCAACGUUAAUCGGGGCAGGGUGAGUCGACCCCUAAGGCGAGGCCGAAAGGCGUAGUCGAUGGGAAACGGGUUAAUAUUCCCGUACUUGGUGUUACUGCGAAGGGGGGACGGAGAAGGCUAUGUUGGCCGGGCGACGGUUGUCCCGGUUUAAGCGUGUAGGUAUGUGUUCCAGGUAAAUCCGGUUCACUUUAACACUGAGGCGUGACGACGAGGCACUACGGUGCUGAAGCAACAAAUGCCCUGCUUCCAGGAAAAGCCUCUAAGCAUCAGGUAACAUCAAAUCGUACCCCAAACCGACACAGGUGGUCAGGUAGAGAAUACCAAGGCGCUUGAGAGAACUCG
This 1770-nucleotide ribosomal RNA is filed under the name Salmonella enterica. Its description in RNAcentral is "partial 23S ribosomal RNA". It matches the Rfam family "Bacterial large subunit ribosomal RNA", at positions 1 to 1702 of the family's 2925-position model. RNAcentral also lists the same sequence under 3 other names. Lineage: Bacteria; Pseudomonadati; Pseudomonadota; Gammaproteobacteria; Enterobacterales; Enterobacteriaceae. The record is from RNAcentral.